AAGUGCGAAUGCUGACAUAAGUAACGAUAAAGCGGGUGAAAAGCCCGCUCGCCGGAAGACCAAGGGUUCCUGUCCAACGUUAAUCGGGGCAGGGUGAGUCGACCCCUAAGGCGAGGCCGAAAGGCGUAGUCGAUGGGAAACGGGUUAAUAUUCCCGUACUUGGUGUUACUGCGAAGGGGGGACGGAGAAGGCUAUGUUGGCCGGGCGACGGUUGUCCCGGUUUAAGCGUGUAGGUGUGUGUUCCAGGUAAAUCCGGUUCACUUUAACACUGAGGCGUGACGACGAGGCACUACGGUGCUGAAGCAACAAAUGCCCUGCUUCCAGGAAAAGCCUCUAAGCAUCAGGUAACAUCAAAUCGUACCCCAAACCGACACAGGUGGUCAGGUAGAGAAUACCAAGGCGCUUGAGAGAACUCGGGUGAAGGAACUAGGCAAAAUGGUGCCGUAACUUCGGGAGAAGGCACGCUGACACGUAGGUGAAGUGAUUUACUCAUGGAGCUGAAGUCAGUCGAAGAUACCAGCUGGCUGCAACUGUUUAUUAAAAACACAGCACUGUGCAAACACGAAAGUGGACGUAUACGGUGUGACGCCUGCCCGGUGCCGGAAGGUUAAUUGAUGGGGUCAGCGCAAGCGAAGCUCCUGAUCGAAGCCCCGGUAAACGGCGGCCGUAACUAUAACGGUCCUAAGGUAGCGAAAUUCCUUGUCGGGUAAGUUCCGACCUGCACGAAUGGCGUAAUGAUGGCCAGGCUGUCUCCACCCGAGACUCAGUGAAAUUGAACUCGCUGUGAAGAUGCAGUGUACCCGCGGCAAGACGGAAAGACCCCGUGAACCUUUACUAUAGCUUGACACUGAACAUUGAGCCUUGAUGUGUAGGAUAGGUGGGAGGCUUUGAAGCGUGGACGCCAGUCUGCGUGGAGCCGACCUUGAAAUACCACCCUUUAAUGUUUGAUGUUCUAACGUGGACCCGUGAUCCGGGUUGCGGACAGUGUCUGGUGGGUAGUUUGACUGGGGCGGUCUCCUCCUAAAGAGUAACGGAGGAGCACGAAGGUUGGCUAAUCCUGGUCGGACAUCAGGAGGUUAGUGCAAUGGCAUAAGCCAGCUUGACUGCGAGCGUGACGGCGCGAGCAGGUGCGAAAGCAGGUCAUAGUGAUCCGGUGGUUCUGAAUGGAAGGGCCAUCGCUCAACGGAUAAAAGGUACUCCGGGGAUAACAGGCUGAUACCGCCCAAGAGUUCAUAUCGACGGCGGUGUUUGGCACCUCGAUGUCGGCUCAUCACAUCCUGGGGCUGAAGUAGGUCCCAAGGGUAUGGCUGUUCGCCAUUUAAAGUGGUACGCGAGCUGGGUUUAGAACGUCGUGAGACAGUUCGGUCCCUAUCUGCCGUGGGCGCUGGAGAACUGAGGGGGGCUGCUCCUAGUACGAGAGGACCGGAGUGGACGCAUCACUGGUGUUCGGGUUGUCAUGCCAAUGGCACUGCCCGGUAGCUAAAUGCGGAAGAGAUAAGUGCUGAAAGCAUCUAAGCACGAAACUUGCCCCGA
RNAcentral lists this ribosomal RNA (1533 nucleotides) under Salmonella enterica. RNAcentral describes it as "partial 23S ribosomal RNA". It matches the Rfam family "Bacterial large subunit ribosomal RNA", at positions 1286 to 2802 of the family's 2925-position model. The record is from RNAcentral. Lineage: Bacteria; Pseudomonadati; Pseudomonadota; Gammaproteobacteria; Enterobacterales; Enterobacteriaceae.